GUGGGGAAUCUUGCGCAAUGGGCGAAAGCCUGACGCAGCCAUGCCGCGUGAAUGAUGAAGGUCUUAGGAUUGUAAAAUUCUUUCACCGGGGACGAUAAUGACGGUACCCGGAGAAGAAGCUCCGGCUAACUUCGUGCCAGCAGCCGCGGUAAUACGAAGGGGGCUAGCGUUGCUCGGAAUUACUGGGCGUAAAGGGCGCGUAGGCGGACAGCGUAGUCAGAGGUGAAAGCCCAGGGCUCAACCUUGGAAUUGCCUUUGAUACUGGCUGUCUUGAGUUUGGGAGAGGUGAGUGGAUCACCGAGUGUAGAGGUGAAAGUCGUAGAUAUUCGGAAGAACACCAGUGGCGAAGGCGACUCGCUGGACAGGUAUUGACGCUGAGGUGCGAAAGCGUGGGGAGCAAACAGGAUUAGAUACCCCGGUAGUCC
Molecule: ribosomal RNA, 425 nt
Filed under: uncultured bacterium
Lineage: Bacteria
Description: partial 16S ribosomal RNA
Rfam family: Bacterial small subunit ribosomal RNA
Source: RNAcentral